AGUGAACGCUGGCGGUAGGCCUAACACAUGCAAGUCGAACGGCAGCACAGUAAGAGCUUGCUCUUACGGGUGGCGAGUGGCGGACGGGUGAGGAAUACAUCGGAAUCUACUUUUUCGUGGGGGAUAACGUAGGGAAACUUACGCUAAUACCGCAUACGGCCUACGGGUGAAAGCAGGGGAUCUUCGGACCUUGCGCGAUUGAAUGAGCCGAUGUCGGAUUAGCUAGUUGGCGGGGUAAAGGCCCACCAAGGCGACGAUCCGUAGCUGGUCUGAGAGGAUGAUCAGCCACACUGGAACUGAGACACGGUCCAGACUCCUACGGGAGGCAGCAGUGGGGAAUAUUGGACAAUGGGCGCAAGCCUGAUCCAGCCAUACCGCGUGGGUGAAGAAGGCCUUCGGAUUGUAAAGCCCUUUUGUUGGGAAAGAAAAGCAGCAGGUUAAUACCCCGCUGUUCUGACGGUACCCAAAGAAUAAGCACCGGCUAACUUCGUG
RNAcentral lists this ribosomal RNA (492 nucleotides) under uncultured bacterium. RNAcentral's name for it is "partial 16S ribosomal RNA". It matches the Rfam family "Bacterial small subunit ribosomal RNA", at positions 29 to 507 of the family's 1533-position model. The record is from RNAcentral.